Molecule: ribosomal RNA, 151 nt
Filed under: Otidea leporina
Lineage: Eukaryota; Fungi; Ascomycota; Pezizomycetes; Pezizales; Pyronemataceae
Description: 5.8S ribosomal RNA
Rfam family: 5.8S ribosomal RNA
About the family: 5.8S ribosomal RNA (5.8S rRNA) is a component of the large subunit of the eukaryotic ribosome. It is transcribed by RNA polymerase I as part of the 45S precursor that also contains 18S and 28S rRNA.
Source: RNAcentral
AACUUUCAACAACGGAUCUCUUGGUUCUCGCAUCGAUGAAGAACGCAGCGAAAUGCGAUAAGUAGUGUGAAUUGCAGAAUUCAGUGAAUCAUCGAAUCUUUGAACGCACAUUGCGCCUCAUGGUAUCCCAUGGGGCAUGCCUUCCGGAGCG